Uloborus diversus is the source of this 201-nucleotide small nucleolar RNA. RefSeq annotates it as small nucleolar RNA U3. The transcript has a single exon. NCBI's taxonomy places the organism in Eukaryota, Metazoa, Arthropoda, Arachnida, Araneae, Uloboridae. The record is from RefSeq and is a predicted model, not a curated record.
AAGAUCAUACUUCAUAGGAUCAUUUCUAUAGUAUGAUUAGCGAGUUCGCUCACCGAACUUCGCAGAAUACCCAACCACGAUGAUGUGGAAUGGGGCUUCUACCUGAGCGUGAAGCCGGUGUGUCAAGUCUCUGACAUACCAUUGAUGAUCGCGCCUUCUGUUCUCGUAGCGGUUGGAGGGUAGGAACUCGUUCUGAGUGGU